AAGUCGUAACAAGGUAACCGUAGGUGAACCUGCGGUUGGAUCAUUAACAAACCCCGUCCGGCGCAAGCCGGCGGAAAUGGGGACUGCCUCGGCAGGAACCACGACCCAACACUGUGCACCGUCUCUUUUUGGGUCCUAGACCCGAAACACAGACCCAACCCUUAAGCCUUGAACCUAGUAAUUAAAAAACAACUUUUGACAACGGAUCUCUUGGCUCUC
This 219-nucleotide unclassified non-coding RNA is filed under the name fungal sp. RNAcentral describes it as "partial internal transcribed spacer region". The stretch from base 1 to 46 matches the Rfam family "Eukaryotic small subunit ribosomal RNA", at positions 1786 to 1831 of the family's 1831-position model. The record is from RNAcentral. Lineage: Eukaryota; Fungi.